ACCAGGCUGACCCCUGUCCCAGCCACCAGGCUGACCCCUGUCCCAGCCACCAGUCUGACCCCUGUCCCAGCCACCAGUCUGACCCCUGUAUCUAGUCCGAUUCACCUGUACAGGUGUGUUUGUAUCAAUAUCGUCUCCACCCGUCUGUUCCGACAGGUUGCAUUAUAAGGAGCGUUUGGUGGCGCUGAUUAACCGUUGCAGUGCCGACCCGGCAGUCCUCUUCAGCCCGGCAGAAAUGAUGGCGGAGCUGCAGCGCUGGCACGUCACUGUGCCGACCCGGAAACCAGACGAACCAGAGCCUCUGUACGCACACCGCCUCCGCCUGACUCUGACCAAUAGCGUUCCUCUCAGGAAACAGCGACGCUUUCCACUCAACGACGCCCUCUGACCUCUGACCUCUGCUGUGGCUCCUGGAGCUCCGCCCCCUCACCUGCUGCUGAGCGACUGACUGAUUCUGCCCUCUCCUCACACAGCAGCCAAUCAGGAGGCAGUGAUCUGUGUCACCAUAGUAACCACUAACUUUAUUUCAUUGGGGACAUUUUGGAGACAAAGCCGCCAUCAGUGAAGUCCCAGGAGGUUUUCAUCUGCUGUGACAUCACUGAUAAGGUGUGUGGUCAGAACCUGCUGUGACAUCACUGAGGGGGCGUGGUCAGUCGUGUUUCCAGGCUGAAAACAGAUCAAAGUCCUCGCCUGUCUCAAUCCCAGUGACAUCAUCAGUCUGCUGUUGGACCAUGCAGCGAGCAGCCAAUCAGAGUUUCACUUUUAAAUGUUCAUGUUGGUGUCGACUGAAGCGGCUGCAGCAGGCGUUAGCUUAAUAAGCACUUUGAGACAUCGUUCUAACGAGCUAACGAUGCUAACAUGUCUCCUCUGUACUUAAGUAUCCACUUCUGCACCAGUUAGCCUUUGUUAGCAUGUGUUAAUGCAGGUAAACGUGUCUUCUGGAUGGGAGUAGAACCCUCAACCUUCUUCUGCUUUAUUUCUUUCUGCACUUUAACUGUUUGAAUAUUUAAUAAAUAAUAUCUUAAUACA
Long non-coding RNA from Micropterus dolomieu (smallmouth bass), 1029 nucleotides. RefSeq lists it as uncharacterized. The record is from RefSeq and is a predicted model, not a curated record. Lineage: Eukaryota; Metazoa; Chordata; Actinopteri; Centrarchiformes; Centrarchidae. The transcript has 2 exons.